UGGAGAAUCUUGCACAAUGGGGGAAACCCUGAUGCAGCAACGCCGCGUGAAGGAAGAAGGCCCUUGGGUCGUAAACUUCUUUUCUAAGGGAAGAUAAUGACGGUACCUUAGGAACAAGUCCCGGCUAACUACGUGCCAGCAGCCGCGGUAAUACGUAGGGGGCGAGCGUUAUCCGGAAUUAUUGGGCGUAAAGAGUACGUAGGUGGUUUCCUAAGCAUGGGGGUUAAGGCAAUGGCUCAACGGGUGUUCGCCCUAUGAACUGGGUGACUUGAGUGCGGGAGGGGAAAGCGGAAUUCCGAGUGUAGCGGUGAAAUGCGUAGAUAUUAGGAGGAACACCAGUGGCGAAGGCGGCUUUCUGGACAGUAACUGACACUGAGGUACGAAAGUGUGGGGAGCAAACA
This 401-nucleotide ribosomal RNA is filed under the name uncultured prokaryote. RNAcentral's name for it is "bacterial SSU rRNA". It matches the Rfam family "Bacterial small subunit ribosomal RNA", at positions 355 to 774 of the family's 1533-position model. The record is from RNAcentral.